Long non-coding RNA from Rhineura floridana, 4453 nucleotides. RefSeq lists it as uncharacterized. Lineage: Eukaryota; Metazoa; Chordata; Lepidosauria; Squamata; Rhineuridae. The transcript is spliced from 4 exons. The record is from RefSeq and is a predicted model, not a curated record.
UUUUUUUAUCUUAGCGGGGCUAAUGCUUCAGCUUCUCUUUUAAGAUUGGCUGCUGCUCCUAUGCAUAAUAUAAUUAAAACAAACGAGGGGAGGAUUUGUCUCUCCCCCCCCCAGCAUCAACAGAGGUUAAUGCGAAUAUUUAGCAAAGCUUUGCUCAGUUUGGGCGUUCAGACGAUUGCUGCCUGAACUCAGGUUCCCUUUCACUUAACCAGCCCAGCUGGCUCCUGGUGUAGUUUGCUCCAGACGGAACGCCGUGCGCCUCAAAUGAACGGGCCUUUGUUGUCCUUUCGGUCAGCCAGACCUAGUCUGUGGCUUGAGGUGUUGUUUUCAAGCUGGAGUGGAAAAACAGGAGCAGCCUGGGCGGAACUGCAGGAGUCCAGCAUUUCGGAAUGGACUCGAGGGAAGUCCGAGGCAGGGCGUCCUUCAGCAAAGGCUCUCACUGAGCUGCAGGUCAAGGUUCAGCAGUCCUCAGAUGGUCCUCAGCUAUGGAUGCCGGGACGGCUUCUUCUGAACACAGAUUAGAGCCCUCCAAGUGCAAGGCGCUGGGCAUGACGUAGGCUCGAUGGCUGCUCUGGGACCGGCAGUCCUUUUGGUCCACAUGCUUCCAGGCCGCAUAUGGAGUUCUUGGGAGCCUUCUAACUUCCGUUUUUCUUUUUUUCUUUCAAAAAGGAACCCAAGCAGGGGAAAAGAUGUUAUGAUUUUGUGCGUGUGUGCGUGUGUCAGAGAGCAGUCUGGGAGCAUAGAUGUGCACUCUUUUGCAGAUCUUUAUUUUUGCUUGCAGAAUUCUAACAGAGGGAACCGUAAGAACUACUGUCCAACGGGGGGGGGGAGCCCACCUUUUAUGGGACCCUAUUUCUGGUUUAUUUAACUAUGAAAGAAGUGGCAGAUGGCUUUAAAGUGCAAUUAUUUAUUUAUUUUAGCCAAAGAAAAAGAGUAAAGCAGGAAUAUAAUGAAAUUUGAUUCAUUGUGGUGAGGUGUUUUUUUUUAAUGCGUGAUACAAAAGCACUCUCUCCCCUAAAAUAAAAAGCCCUGUGCAAAGGGAUCUUACUCAUGUUUACUCAGAGGCAAAUUCUACUAACGAUUUCUUUACUUAUAUGCGACUUUUCUACUCCAGGUGACCUCCCUCCCCACAAUCCGCUCCCAAAUUCAGUAAUGGACUGCUUUUAAGUCGAUUCUGACUUGUGGCGACCCUAUGAAUAAGGGUUUUCAUGGUAAGCUGUAUUCAGAGGGGGUUGCCAUUGCCUCCCUCUGAGGCUGAGAGGCAGUGACUGGUCCAAGAUCACCCAAUGAGCUUCAUGGCUGUGUGGGGAUUCGAACCCUUGUCUCCCAGGUCGUAGUCCAACACCACUACACCACACUGGCACUCCCCAAAUACAAUAAAAAUACCAAUAAAAGGAUGACUAAGACUUACUCCCAAGUCGAAGCAUCCAUAGGGCAGCAGGUAUCGUGUGGCCAUUAUCACCUUAUCCUGGGCUCUCAUUCUAAUCUCAUUCUAUUUGCCGCCCAAGGCUCCUUCUGGGAGGUAGGGUGGGAUAUAAAUUUAAUAAAUAUAUAUAUAUAUAUAUAAAUACACAAAUAAUAAACUAUACACAUCCUCAUGUGAAGUUGUCUCCAUAUUUUUUUGCACCCAGUCUUCUUUUAGGCAAUCGCAAGUCAACAACCCAGUGAAAGACCCCUUGCAUUUAAAAAACGAACAACGCUCGGAUCCGAAACACUUUGCUUUAGAAGAUAAUACUAUCUUUCUCUUCCCCAUACCAUCUCCAGUCUAUGGGUUCCCAUCCAUAUUGGGGAUUCUAAGGCAUAAUUCCUUAGAAUCCACAUUAAAACCAGUAGGAUGAUAGCAUAGGCUAUGAGUGUUUAGGAUUGGGCUGCAGGUAUGCUCUUUAAUCCCAAACAGGUUUCUUUGGAAGUAAAUCCCGGUAAAAUAACAUCAAGUGCUCUAGUUUUAAACGGCUUUAAGAUCAAUUUCUUCGUCUUAGCUUAUGGAUCUUACCAGGACGUUCUUAUGCUGAGACAGAUAAAGCUCAGAUAAAGUAAGGCGAGUAAAUAGUUGCAAGGUGGAACCUAAACUUCGUGCAUCCUACUCCUUUAAAUUUUUUCUCCCUGUUGCCAUCAUGUGAUACUUUGUUUGCUAAGAUAUUUUCUACACCGCCUUCCAUUGCAACAGCAAUAUCUUCCCGCCCCCAGCCAUAGAACACCUUUCCUUAGAAAUACAUGCCAUGGAUUUCAACAUAUACAGGCAAAUCGCUGUGUUUAUCUAAACAUGGACUCCUUCAUGAGAAUUUGCAAUGCCCAUGGAGAGAGAUCUUUCUAGGGAAAGGUCAUCAUGAUGAUAUAUUUCUUAUAGUUAUGUAUUUAUAUACCGCUCUUCUUUCGGAUGUAUUCCAUUCGUUUCAAACGCAGCUCCUUUGAAUGGCAGUUCCCAUUCAAAGGACUCUCGAUUUACUUCGGAUCACAGCCAACGCCCAGCUCAUCUGCAGGGUUCCAUUUAAAAGCCGCCCUGUGACUCUCGCGGGUUUGCGGUUUGUGUCUCCUAUUAAACCGAUUAGGAGGCGCAAUCCAGGAUAAAUGGUUGGCCUAAAACGCCGCAGAAAGGAGUUCCAUUGAAAUCAUACGGAAAUACCCCCAAGUAAGCGUGUGUGUGUUUAGGGCGGGGGGGGGGGAAGGGUGUCAGGCUAUAGUUCGACAGGUUUAUUCUUAGGGGCUGGGAUCAUCUUUCCACCAAACUUUCUUCUUUUUCUUCAGAUGAGUAAUUUAUGCGGCAAUCUGGGAGACUUGGCCAGCUGACAUCUGGCUGGCUGCUUCUCCCCCCUCCUCUCUCUCCCUCUCCCCCUCCCCGCUCCCUCCCCCCACCAGAAGUUCUAGUUAAACAAAUCUAGCAGGGGAGUAUAGAGAAGACUUGUUUGUGGGUGGGUGGUAUAAAGUGGCAGGGUUGGGCCGCUUCAGUGCGCCGUCUAGGAAGCCAGAGCGCUUCUAGGCUCUUCAGUCAUUUCCCAAGGUUACGAUUCGAGAAGCCAGAGGCCUGUUGACGGAAGGAACGCCCAGGCGAGCCGCAGAUUCCAGAUGCAAGGCAACAAACACCGCUCUCAGGCCCCGCCGUCAAGCUCAGCGUUACUAUAGCUCGAUCGGCGGUCAUUUCUGCCCUAGGCCAGAAUCCUAGGAGGACACUCGCUCGAGGGGCUUUUGCUUCCCACGUCCGCCCCCUCUUUGGGUGCCUACAACUCUGCCGAUGGACAUCGUGUUUAAACAGUUGUUGCUCUUUCCUCUCCCUCCUGUAAUGUUCCCCCAACCAACCACCACCCUAACCACCCACCACCCACAGGUUGUAUACUUUUGUCUUGACCAUUUUUAAAGGUCAAAAAGCAAACAUCUCUGGGGGAUCUUGGUUCCUUUCUGUUCUGCCUUGUGUACGAGUGUGCCAAGGUCACCAGACCGAUAGCGAAAAAUCGACAGUUAACCAGAGGAUUACUUGUGACCUUUGUUGCUAUUCCCUGCCCUCUUUAGACAUAUAAAAUCAGGAUUUAGAUGAAGGUGAUGGACUUGGAUGUAAGGCUGUCAACACUUCUGAUCAUUUACUUGGAAGAAACUAGCGUUUUGCGCGGGCAUGAACUGCUUUCAAGCCUGGCAUAGGGCUAAGUCUAGGUGAAAGCAAUAGAUUGUGUCCAGUGUUAGUCCUGCUCCGAGUCGAUCGGUUGGAAUUAAUGGACCUGAAUUAGUCAUGUCCGUUCACUUCAGUGGGUCUACACCGCGCAGGACUAACUUGGAUACAACCCAGCGGUCUUGAAGCAUGUUCUUAAGGCAACAAUUCUAAGCACACUUACUGGGGAGUAAUCUCUGCUGAACACAGUGGAACUGACCUCUGCGUAAAUAUGCCUAAGAUUGCAGUACAGUAUAAGAUUAUUCACUAAAAAAAAUAAUAUCCCGAUUUUAUAUUCGUUAAGGCUUGGCCUCAGGUUAGGCUGAACAUAGGUACAAGCUGCCUCUACUGCUGUACAAAUGUUUGUGUGAAAGAGUGUACACUUUUAAAUUUUUAUGCAACUUGUUUUUUAUGUUUGCUUUUUUGGCAUUUUAAUGAAUAUUUUAGAUUGGCUUUUACACCCUGGGAUCCUUUGGGAGGAAAGGCAGGGCACAAAUUUAAUACAUUUAAUAAAUAAAUAAGCAAACCCACUUAGAGGUCUUUUGGUUUGGAUAAGCAGUAUACAUAUUGUUAAACAAAUGAACAAAGCAAACUUGAUGGUUAGAACAGCUCAGCUGUUGUAUCCGCAGGCAGCAAGAUUGUACCCUGGUUGAAACUUAAAUGUGAAUAACUGGACAAGUGAGCAUCUCAACUGUCUGCAUGCACAGGUGUACAGAUUAUACACUUGUUUAAUGUAACAUGCAUAUACCCCUCUGUUGAUGCAUGUUUGAUUGUUGAUGUUUUUAUUGUUAAAUCUUUUGGGGAAUGUUUCAUGGG